RNAcentral lists this ribosomal RNA (454 nucleotides) under uncultured Pseudomonadota bacterium. RNAcentral's name for it is "bacterial SSU rRNA". It matches the Rfam family "Bacterial small subunit ribosomal RNA", at positions 8 to 444 of the family's 1533-position model. The record is from RNAcentral. Lineage: Bacteria; Pseudomonadati; Pseudomonadota.
AGAGUUUGAUCCUGGCUCACAACGAACGCUGGCGGCGUGCCGAACACAUGCAAGUCCAACGAGAAAGUGGACUUCGGUCCGCGAGUACAGGGGCAGACGGGUGAGUAACACGUGGGCAAUCGGCCCGAAGGUGGGGGAGAACUCUGCGAAGGGAGGGCUAAUACCGCGCAACAGCCUGGAGCUCUCGGGCUCCGGGAUCAAAGCUUGCCUCUAUUUAUAAGCACGCGCCAUCGAAGGAGCCCGCGCCCCAUUAACUUGUUGGUGAGGUAACGGCUCAUCAAGGCUGCAAUGGGUAUCCGGCCUGAUAGGGUGAACGGCCACACUGGAACUGACACACGGGCCAUACUCCUACCGGAGGCAGCAGUGAGGAAUUUUGCGCACUGGGCAAAAGCCUGACGCACCGGCUCCGCGUGAAGGAAGAAGGUCGUCCGAUUGUAGACUUCUGUCCAGAGGG